GGAGAGGUGCCAGAGUGGUAAUGGAGCAGUUUGCUAAACUGUCAUCGAGUGAUCGGUGCCAGGGUUCGAGUCCCUGUCUCUCCGCGA
This 87-nucleotide transfer RNA is filed under the name Flavobacterium sp. JRM. RNAcentral's name for it is "tRNA-Ser". It matches the Rfam family "tRNA". From Rfam's summary of the family: Transfer RNA (tRNA) molecules are approximately 80 nucleotides in length. RNAcentral also lists the same sequence under 2 other names. The record is from RNAcentral. Lineage: Bacteria; Pseudomonadati; Bacteroidota; Flavobacteriia; Flavobacteriales; Flavobacteriaceae.